UUGAAUCGAGAGCACAAUGCCGAUCAGUUGUCAGGAUAUUUUUCGUUCGGUGUUUAUUGCCCGUAGGUGGAUAAAAAGGGAAAAUGUCCGUCAAUUGGGAGUUAUAUCUGCGAGAGAUCCGUAAACGGGACAAAUUACCUCUGUUGUGCAGCAACCGGGCGAGAACAAAGCGAACACCUGUUGUACCUGUGAGACCCGGUGAUUUAUUUGUCGACAGUUAGAAAAGAAGAAUCGUCGAUUGUUAAACAUUCUAUUCGAGAUCAUUGGGAUAACAUUAAACGAAAUGUUGAAAGCAAGAAAAAUAAAUGUUUGCUCAUACAGAUCCUAGGAAUUAGAGCUUCAAGAACAGAAGACAGAUAAUAGCGUACCAGUUUAGUACGUGUUGUAUAUAGCAAAUUGCGGUACGACGGCAAAGGAAAAUGGUCCACAUAAAGUUUAAUUGAAAGGAACCGGAUACCAAUCGUGGAAAUAGAGAAAUCUUCGAGUCGUCGGAGAACAAAGAAAUUUAAUUGACGAAACACAAAAUCUCGCUGGUAUCAACACAAAUUACAUCGAAUAGUGCAUGAAAUUCAUACAAUUUCUAGCUACACAUAUUCCUGAGUAUACACAAACCACAAAAAAGGAAAAAAUAUUAAUAGAAUUCACUACAAUUAAUAUCAAUCUUCAAUACAUCUAUCUUUUAUCCAAUGAAACUCCCAACGUUUCCAACAACCUUUCGCCUAAUUUCCUUUAUCAUGUCAAGUAACAGUUAAUAAAUUUCUGAAACACAUCGAAAACGAUUUUCCAAAGUAUACCAAACGUCGAUCAACGCGAAACUUUCCAGCCGGAGGCCAGGUCGUAUGCCAUUCACGCAAUUAAGAGGAAAAAAUUGACUUUGUAAACCGUGUUAUCCAAGCGGCGU
Long non-coding RNA from Nomia melanderi (Alkali bee), 901 nucleotides. RefSeq lists it as uncharacterized. The record is from RefSeq and is a predicted model, not a curated record. NCBI's taxonomy places the organism in Eukaryota, Metazoa, Arthropoda, Insecta, Hymenoptera, Halictidae.